This 406-nucleotide ribosomal RNA is filed under the name Cardinium endosymbiont of Bemisia tabaci. Its description in RNAcentral is "bacterial SSU rRNA". It matches the Rfam family "Bacterial small subunit ribosomal RNA", at positions 234 to 637 of the family's 1533-position model. Lineage: Bacteria; Pseudomonadati; Bacteroidota; Cytophagia; Cytophagales; Amoebophilaceae. The record is from RNAcentral.
CGUCCUAUUAGCUAGUUGGUGAGGCAAUGGCUCACCAAGGCUACGAUGGGUAGGGGUUCUUAGUGGAAGAUCCCCCACACUGGCACUGAGAUACGGGCCAGACUCCUACGGGAGGCAGCAGUAGGGAAUAUUGGUCAAUGGGCGAAAGCCUGAACCAGCCAUGCCGCGUGCAGGAUGACAGCUCUCUGAGUUGUAAACUGCUUUUGUACAGGAGCAAAACAAUCCCUGCGGGGGUUCUUGAGAGUACUGUAAGAAUAAGCACCGGCUAAUUCCGUGCCAGCAGCCGCGGUAAUACGGAAGGUGCAAGCGUUAUCCGGUUUUAUUGGGUUUAAAGGGUGCGUAGGCGGCUUAUUAAGUCAGUUGUGAAAUCCUAGCGCUUAACGCUAGAACUGCAAUUGAUACUAUU